ACGGCUCAGUAACACGUGGACAAUCUAACCUACGGAGGGGGAUAACCCCGGGAAACUGGGGAUAAUACCCCAUAGACUAUGGAUGCUGGAAUGCUUUGUAGUCGAAAGGUCCGCCGCCGUAGGAUGGGUCUGCGGCCGAUUAGGUUGUUGUUGGGGUAACGGCCCAACAAGCCUGUAAUCGGUACGGGUUGUGGGAGCAAGAGCCCGGAGAUGGAUUCUGAGACACGAAUCCAGGCCCUACGGGGCGCAGCAGGCGCGAAAACUUUACAAUGCGGGAAACCGUGAUAGGGGAACUCUGAGUGCCCGUUAAAUCGGGCUGUCCAUCAGUUUAAAUAACUGGUGAAGAAAGGGCCGGGCAAGACCGGUGCCAGCCGCCACGGUAAUACCGGCGGCUCGAGUGGUGGCCACUAUUACUGGGCUUAAAGCGUUCGUAGCUGGUUUGUUAAGUCUCUGGGGAAAUCUUCCGGCUUAACCGGAAGGCGUCUCAGGGAUACUGGCAGACUAGGGACCGGGAGAGGUGAGGGGUACUCCAGGGGUAGGAGUGAAAUCCUGUAAUCCUUGGGGGACCACCUGUGGCGAAGGCGCCUCACCAGAACGGCUCCGACAGUGAGGGACGAAAGCUGGGGGAGCAAACCGGAUUAGAUACCCGGGUAGUCCCAGCUGUAAACGAUGCGCGUUAGGUGUAUCGAUGACCACGAGUCAUCGAGGUGCCGAAGAGAAAUCGUGAAACGUGCCGCCUGGGAAGUACGGUCGCAAGGCUGAAACUUAAAGGAAUUGGCGGGGGAGCAC
This 789-nucleotide ribosomal RNA is filed under the name uncultured archaeon. Its description in RNAcentral is "bacterial SSU rRNA". It matches the Rfam family "Archaeal small subunit ribosomal RNA", at positions 85 to 879 of the family's 1478-position model. The record is from RNAcentral.